CCUACGGGAGGCAGCAGUGAGGAAUAUUGGUCAAUGGGCGAAAGCCUGAACCAGCCAAGUCGCGUGAGGGAUGAAUGUUCUAUGGAUUGUAAACUUCUUUUAUAAGGGAAUAAAAUGUGGGACGUGUCCCAUUUUGUAUGUACCUUAUGAAUAAGGAUCGGCUAACUCCGUGCCAGCAGCCGCGGUAAUACGGAGGAUCCGAGCGUUAUCCGGAUUUAUUGGGUUUAAGGGGUGCGUAGGUGGCCUGUUAAGUCAGCGGUGAAAGUUUGUGGCUCAACCGUAGAAUUGCAGUUGAUACUGGGAGGCUUGAGUAUAGUUGAGGCAGGCGGAAUUCGUGGUGUAGCGGUGAAAUGCUUAGAUAUCACGCAGAACCCCGAUUGCGAAGGCAGCCUGCUAAGCCGUGACUGACGCUGAUGCACGAAAGCGUGGGUAUCAAACAGGAUUAGAUACCCGAGUAGUC
RNAcentral lists this ribosomal RNA (460 nucleotides) under uncultured bacterium. RNAcentral describes it as "partial 16S ribosomal RNA". It matches the Rfam family "Bacterial small subunit ribosomal RNA", at positions 338 to 795 of the family's 1533-position model. The record is from RNAcentral.